This 309-nucleotide long non-coding RNA is filed under the name Numida meleagris (helmeted guineafowl). Its description in RNAcentral is "lncRNA (ENSNMEG00000009056.1)". The record is from RNAcentral. Lineage: Eukaryota; Metazoa; Chordata; Aves; Galliformes; Numididae.
CAGGUGCAAGACCUUGCACUUGGCUUUGUUGUACCUCAUGAGGUUCACCUGGACUCAGUGCUCGAGACUGUCUAGGUCUCUCUGCAUGGCAUCCUGUUCACAUAUAGCAGUUCAAAGCUUAGUUUUUAGUUGUGAAAAUCACAGUAAAUUGCACGGAAAUUAAGCAGUGUAUGAAUAAACUUUUUUAGAGGAGAAAUCACUUGUGUAUGCAGUUGUUGAAUUGAAGGGGAAAAGGAAUAUCAAUGCAGGACAAGUAAGUAAGUGUUAAAUUUACAGAUUAAACAUUCCUUUUAUUGGGAGUGACCUGUA